This 104-nucleotide ribosomal RNA is filed under the name uncultured bacterium. RNAcentral describes it as "partial 16S ribosomal RNA". It matches the Rfam family "Bacterial small subunit ribosomal RNA", at positions 1380 to 1482 of the family's 1533-position model. The record is from RNAcentral.
CUUGUACACACCGCCCGUCACACCAUGGGAGCGGGUUCUGCCAGAAGUAGUUAGCCUAACCGCAAGGAGGGCGAUUACCACGGCAGGGUUCGUGACUGGGGGUG